UAUGAUUCAUUAUUGCUUUGCUGUCCAUGGCCAUGCAGAGAAAUGCCGGAGCAUCCUUCCCUGCCUGCUAGUUACACCCAAUCUGCACGGAUGUAAAAGAGUAGUUGAUGAAGUGCGGGAGCAUCCAUCCUGUGGCUUACAUAAACAGUAAGGAAUGGGUUCAGCUCAGUGUGGCGAAGGGAGAAGCUCAAAGAAAACAGAAAAUAGGGCGCUUGAUGAUUCCAGAAGUGACCCGGUGUGCUCCGCAAGAAAAUUAAUCCUACAACGGGACCAUCUCUUUCUGGAUUCUCCACCCCUUUACUCAGCAAGGUCCAGAUCCUUGGCCUCAGCCCAGGAGCCAUGAACUGCUCUGGCUCCACAAAACACCUAGAAGAUUGCUCCAAACAAGUGGCUGGAAACCUCUUGGCAUGGCCCAGGUGCUACACUGUCUUCUCCUUGGCAUAGAUGGCAGGAGAGCAGCCAUCAUAAAUAUUCUCAGCACGGACUUUGUAAAGCCUCAGGAUGAGAAGACAUAAAGAGAGUGUCUUGAGGCCUAUCAGUGUCUCAUGCAAGUGACAAAGAUAAAUCAACAACAGAAUCAGAUCAACUGAAAUAAUUGUCAAGCUCCUGCUUCAGAAACAAUCUCCAUCGUGCUUUCCACUGCAAAACAGCCCGCUGGUGGCACAUGUAUAUUCUUUCCCAUUUUUUUCAAAUUUUCAACAAUAUUCCUGAUUCCAACUAAAACUCCAUUAGUCUUCAAAAACUAUUUCUGACUUGUGUGUUAUGACACAAUUUCCUGCUUAUGAGACAAUAAGAGAGACAAUGUGUCAAAGAUCACCAGGAUUGUUUACAAGUGCGUCUGGGAAGAAGAGGAAGACAGAUCAAAAGUGAGACCUUUUUACGUCUAGACAUUUCUGCAUGAAUAAACAUCAUUAUGGUGAAAUGCACAUCUGCAUGAGGGGUAAAUGCUAUAUGAUUCUAUUCACACAGGGUAAAGUUCAUCUCCGUGUCUGAACUUGUCCAAAGGUCUUUGCAUAACUUGAACCUCUCUAAAUGCUAACAAGUACAACAAGCUUGUUGGGCAGAUCUUAGCAUGAAGACAGAGCCUGGAAAACUUGAAACUAUUAAGAAUAUAAAUAAGAAUAAAAGAGGGAAAUGAGGGCAAAGCUUUCCAGUAAAAGAACAGGAAUCAUAACAAAAUUAAAAUACUGGUUUCAGUAGUAUUUUGUUGUUAUAUUUACUUGCCCUUAUGUUACACCCUCCCAUUUGUGCCAAAGCAGUAAAGCUGGGAAAAUAUCUACAUUUUGAGUACAAUGGAAGUUUUUCACUCACGUGGUAAAGUAAGGUCUUUCAUCGUUGAUGUUAAUUAUAUUUAUAUUCACUGUUUUUGUCGAGUUGAGUCCAUCUGGAUCUGUCACUGUUAUAUUUAAAAAGUAGCUGUAAAAUAAGAAAACAAAACAAGAAUCAUUCUGUGGCUAUGUAGGAAAAUAUUUCUCUCCUUACUGUAAGCAAAUAGACCACGUGAAUAAAAUACAUUCUCACCAGUGUG
Molecule: long non-coding RNA, 1528 nt
Organism: Aquila chrysaetos chrysaetos
Lineage: Eukaryota; Metazoa; Chordata; Aves; Accipitriformes; Accipitridae
Exons: 2
Source: RefSeq, a predicted model, not a curated record